UACGUAGGGGGCAAGCGUUGUCCGGAAUUAUUGGGCGUAAAGAGCGUGUAGGCGGUCCGGUAAGUCAGCUGUGAAAGUCAAGGGCUCAACCCUUGAAAGCCGGUUGAUACUGUCGGGCUAGAGUCCGGAAGAGGCGAGUGGAAUUCCCGGUGUAGCGGUGAAAUGCGCAGAUAUCGGGAGGAACACCAAUGGCGAAGGCAGCUCGCUGGGACGGUACUGGCGCUGAGACGCGAAAGCGUGGGGAGCAAACAGG
RNAcentral lists this ribosomal RNA (253 nucleotides) under uncultured bacterium. RNAcentral's name for it is "partial 16S ribosomal RNA". It matches the Rfam family "Bacterial small subunit ribosomal RNA", at positions 524 to 776 of the family's 1533-position model. The record is from RNAcentral.